GACAGAGGGUGCAAGCGUUGUUCGGAAUUAUUGGGCGUAAAGGGCGCGUAGGCGGCCUCGCAAGUCAGGUGUGAAAUCCCAGGGCUUAACCCUGGAACUGCAUCUGAUACUGCUUGGCUUGAAUCCCGGAGAGGGUGGUGGAAUUCCUGGUGUAGAGGUGAAAUUCGUAGAUAUCAGGAGGAACACCGGUGGCGAAGGCGACCACCUGGACGGAGAUUGACGCUGAGGCGCGAAAGCGUGGGGAGCAAACAGG
This 253-nucleotide ribosomal RNA is filed under the name uncultured bacterium. Its description in RNAcentral is "partial 16S ribosomal RNA". It matches the Rfam family "Bacterial small subunit ribosomal RNA", at positions 524 to 776 of the family's 1533-position model. The record is from RNAcentral.